Molecule: ribosomal RNA, 497 nt
Filed under: uncultured bacterium
Lineage: Bacteria
Description: partial 16S ribosomal RNA
Rfam family: Bacterial small subunit ribosomal RNA
Source: RNAcentral
GACGAACGCUGGCGGCGUGCCUAAUACAUGCAAGUUGAGCGCUGAAGGUUGGUACUUGUACCAACUGGAUGAGCAGCGAACGGGUGAGUAACGCGUGGGGAAUCUGCCUUUGAGCGGGGGACAACAUUUGGAAACGAAUGCUAAUACCGCAUAAAAACUUUAAACACAAGUUUUAAGUUUGAAAGAUGCAAUUGCAUCACUCAAAGAUUAUCCCGCGUUGUAUUAGCUAGUUGGUGAGGUAAAGGCUCACCAAGGCGAUGAUACAUAGCCGACCUGAGAGGGUGAUCGGCCAAAUUGGGACUGAGAAAAGGCCCAAACUCCUACGGGAGGCAGCAGUAGGGAAUCUUCGGCAAUGGACGAAAGUCUGACCGAGCAACGCCGCGUGAGUGAAGAAGGUUUUCGGAUCGUAAAACUCUGUUGGUAGAGAAGAACGUUGGUGAGAGUGGAAAGCUCAUCAAGUGACGGUAACUACCCAGAAAGGGACGGCUAACUACGUG